Molecule: transfer RNA, 85 nt
Filed under: Felis catus (domestic cat)
Lineage: Eukaryota; Metazoa; Chordata; Mammalia; Carnivora; Felidae
Also listed under: 4 other names
Rfam family: tRNA
About the family: Transfer RNA (tRNA) molecules are approximately 80 nucleotides in length.
Source: Rfam by way of RNAcentral
GCCUGGAUGGCUCAGUUGGUUGGGCAUCUGACUUUGGCUCAGGUCAUGAUCUCACCAUUUGUGGGUUCGAGCCCCGUGUCGGGCU